This 557-nucleotide ribosomal RNA is filed under the name Hanseniaspora uvarum. RNAcentral describes it as "eukaryotic LSU rRNA". It matches the Rfam family "Eukaryotic large subunit ribosomal RNA", at positions 85 to 656 of the family's 3401-position model. Lineage: Eukaryota; Fungi; Ascomycota; Saccharomycetes; Saccharomycodales; Saccharomycodaceae. The record is from RNAcentral.
UACGGCGAGUGAAGCGGUAAAAGCUCAAAUUUGAAAUCUGGUACUUUCAGUGCCCGAGUUGUAAUUUGUAGAAUUUGUCUUUGAUUAGGUCCUUGUCUAUGUUCCUUGGAACAGGACGUCAUAGAGGGUGAGAAUCCCGUUUGGCGAGGAUACCUUUUCUCUGUAAGACUUUUUCGAAGAGUCGAGUUGUUUGGGAAUGCAGCUCAAAGUGGGUGGUAAAUUCCAUCUAAAGCUAAAUAUUGGCGAGAGACCGAUAGCGAACAAGUACAGUGAUGGAAAGAUGAAAAGAACUUUGAAAAGAGAGUGAAAAAGUACGUGAAAUUGUUGAAAGGGAAGGGCAUUUGAUCAGACAUGGUGUUUUUUGCAUGCACUCGCCUCUCGUGGGCUUGGGCCUCUCAAAAAUUUCACUGGGCCAACAUCAAUUCUGGCAGCAGGAUAAAUCAUUAAGAAUGUAGCUACUUCGGUAGUGUUAUAGCUUUUUGGAAUACUGUUAGCCGGGAUUGAGGACUGCGCUUCGGCAAGGAUGUUGGCAUAAUGGUUAAAUGCCGCCCGUCUUG